This is a long non-coding RNA of Mesocricetus auratus (golden hamster), 417 nucleotides long. RefSeq lists it as uncharacterized. The transcript has 2 exons. The record is from RefSeq and is a predicted model, not a curated record. Lineage: Eukaryota; Metazoa; Chordata; Mammalia; Rodentia; Cricetidae.
GUUAGAGCAGAGAGGGCCCAAGUCAAUGGAUAUUGACCAAUAGCAGUGGGUCCUUUGGCUGUGCACACUGAAGGACUUUCAAGUCACCCCUGCCUGUCCUUCGGCUUGAUCUGGUUCUUGGUGUCUUCUCAUCCUGACCCUGCUACCUCCUCCAUGGCUCCAAGCCCCACCCCGCAUUUUCUUCAGCCCCGGGCAGAAGGCGGCUGCCACUCCACAGCCUGGACAGACAGUGCCCCCCUCAGGCCAACUUUAGCCCUGGACUGUGGCUCUUGGUGUGACAAAGACAAACACCCGUGGGAGAGAUUAGGAGGACUUGGGCAAACCUCCACUGGCAACCCCAAUUUCAGAUUCGAACUCAGGUCUCCAGAGGUGAAUGGGAAGAAAAUGGCUAAAUUAAAAUGCUAAUUACCAUCUCCA